Molecule: ribosomal RNA, 600 nt
Filed under: Trichoderma asperellum
Lineage: Eukaryota; Fungi; Ascomycota; Sordariomycetes; Hypocreales; Hypocreaceae
Description: eukaryotic LSU rRNA
Rfam family: 5.8S ribosomal RNA (bases 211-364)
Source: RNAcentral
UUGAAUGACCAGCGGAGGGAUCAUUACCGAGUUUACAACUCCCAAACCCAAUGUGAACGUUACCAAACUGUUGCCUCGGCGGGGUCACGCCCCGGGUGCGUCGCAGCCCCGGAACCAGGCGCCCGCCGGAGGAACCAACCAAACUCUUUCUGUAGUCCCCUCGCGGACGUAUUUCUUUACAGCUCUGAGCAAAAAUUCAAAAUGAAUCAAAACUUUCAACAACGGAUCUCUUGGUUCUGGCAUCGAUGAAGAACGCAGCGAAAUGCGAUAAGUAAUGUGAAUUGCAGAAUUCAGUGAAUCAUCGAAUCUUUGAACGCACAUUGCGCCCGCCAGUAUUCUGGCGGGCAUGCCUGUCCGAGCGUCAUUUCAACCCUCGAACCCCUCCGGGGGAUCGGCGUUGGGGAUCGGGACCCCUCACACGGGUGCCGGCCCCUAAAUACAGUGGCGGUCUCGCCGCAGCCUCUCCUGCGCAGUAGUUUGCACAACUCGCACCGGGAGCGCGGCGCGUCCACGUCCGUAAAACACCCAACUUUCUGAAAUGUUGACCUCGGAUCAGGUAGGAAUACCCGCUGAACUUAAGCAUAUCAAUAAGCGGAGGAA